Molecule: microRNA, 19 nt
Filed under: Macrophomina phaseolina MS6
Lineage: Eukaryota; Fungi; Ascomycota; Dothideomycetes; Botryosphaeriales; Botryosphaeriaceae
Description: miR-3897-3p
Source: RNAcentral
AGUGGUGGUGGGGAUGGGG